Long non-coding RNA from Brassica rapa (field mustard), 2456 nucleotides. RefSeq lists it as uncharacterized. The record is from RefSeq and is a predicted model, not a curated record. Lineage: Eukaryota; Viridiplantae; Streptophyta; Magnoliopsida; Brassicales; Brassicaceae.
CUCGGAAAAAUCCGAGGGAAAAUAUGUUCCUCGGAAUUUUCCGAGGAACAUAUGUUCCUCGGAAUUUUCCGAUAAACAUUCCGAGGAAUGUUUUGUCGAAACUUCCGAGGAUUUGACCAUCGGAAUUCCAUCGGUUUAUUCCGAGGAACCAUCCGACGAAAAUAUGUUUCUCGGAGUUUCCUCGGAAUUUUGUUUCCUCGGAAUUCCGUCGGAAAUUUCCGACGGAAUUCCGAGGAAGUAUGAAUUUCCGAGGAGAUAUUUCCGAGGACUUUUUUCGUCGGUAUGUCGUCGGAAUAGCGUUAUUCCGACGACAUACCGACGAUUUUUUCCCUCAGUAUCCCGAUGUUUUCUUGUAGUGAUAGCGUGAUGUAUCCAUGGUGUUAGCGACAGGAUUCCAGAGGACUAUAAACCUUGUUGUUUUGCUAAAUCCUGGAAUGCAGUUAGUUGUGAAAGUCUUUAUAUAGAAAUAAACGACGUGUAUAUAGAUCAAGAGAUUUAUUUCAUUGAUGAAUAAGUCCCGUAUCUAAAUAAUUAACAAAUAAUAAAAGUCAAACUCUCUCCUCGAUUUUACCAAUCACAUAAAAAUUGUUCCGCAAAAAAAGAUUUUGUAUAAAGCCACUAAUGUUUUUUUCUAUAAAAAUUAACUCAGUUAAUUAGCCUUUGAUAUUUAAGAUGAUAUACACCCCUUUGUUGGAUUGGAUAUAAUGAAAAACAUAUCAAAUUGUUUUAUUUUUGUCUAAAAUAUAACUAAACAUUAAUAUUAACAUAUUUAUACGUAUAAUAAGUUUCAUUAAGAAUUAUUGGAGUACUAUUUCUUAAACUCUUGUCUAUAAUGUAGAUCUUAUUUUGCAUAUUGGUUACAGACUACUGGACUUCAGCGGAGUUAUCUGUAGAGCAUAUAUUUUUGAUGUUUAAGAGAAUAUCCAUUAACUUGACCAAAAAAGAAGAGAAUAUCCAAUUACAAAAUAACCUUACGAGAAAAGUUUUAUUCACUAAAAAUAAUAAUAAUCUAGAUUCGAUAAAAGUUCCUUAAUUAUUUUUUCUUAUAGAACCCGCAGUAAUAUCUAUCUAUCUAUUAAUAUAAGGGCAAAUCUCUAAAAUAGCACAUUUCUAAGUUUAUAUCACAAAAAUAGCACUCAAAAACUAAAAUGACCAAAAUAGCAUUUUAUCUUUUGAAAAAUUUAAAUUUUUUUAUUUUUUAAAAUUUGAAAUCUUAUCCCCAAAACCUCACUUUUCAACUCUAAACCCUAAAACCUAAACUCUAAAUCCUAAACCCUAAAUUCUAAACCCUAAACCCCACCUCUUGAGUGCUAUUUUGUGACUUUUGACCUUUAUUGCUAGUUUGGAAACAAAAAAUUAAUUUAAUGCUAUUUUGGUCUUUUUCUCUUAAUAUAAAGUACAGAGAUUUAUUAUUCUCUUCUCCUUUUGGCACCUAUUAAGGACAGGUUUCCACGUGUCUCCCUCAAACAACAGAAAACUCUGUUUCGUUUGGGGUGCAAAUGGGCUUUUUGAUGAUUACACAUUCAAUGGUUCUUAUCCUUCUUUCUCGAUAUAAUAUGGAUGAUUCCUCUGUUUUACUUGCUGAUUAGAAAUCCGGCUGUCGCUCUUCCACCGUCGAGGUGCGGUACUCAGACCACCAGGAUUUCUAUAUGUCUAUGUGUCCCACUUUCAACUUUGAUGAGUGAUUGUUGAAGUUAUGUCUACGAAAGGACUUUAAUGAGUAUGAGUACCUAGAGAACAAAGUCGGAGAUGAUGGUGAAGAAGCCAAAUCUGAAGUAAAAUAGAGGACUAGAAGCUGCAGGGAUAGGAGACGAGACGGUUGAGAUAGAGAAUAUGUAAAGGGAAAGAGAAAGUGACUCUUAUUUUUCAUUCACUGUGAAUAACUCAUGCUCUUCCUGCUUUUCUUUCCCGCCCCCUUCAUUUAAACAAAAUUCCCUGAAAUGCAGAGAUUCCACUUUGUUAGCUAAGAUUGUUAAGCUGCUGCAUACGCUUGACUGGAUUGUUGAUUGGAUCAUCAAUGUAUGUUUCAAUCAUCUUCCUAGACAUCUUCCAACAUGGUCAACUCUAUUUAUUUAGUUAUGUCUUUACAUGUAGUCUGUAGACCAUAACUCAUUCUAUAUGAAAUAUGAUGAUUUAUUGGAUUGCUAAUGCAACAAAUUAGAAUGGGAAGGGGGGAGGUGGAGGUCCUCUGGCCAUCUUCUAAAAUACAUGGUAUGUGGAUAAGAAGAGUGAAGUAUAGUGGGUGAAUGGUAAUUAAUAGUGAAUGUUGAAACAUGGGCUGAAGAAGAAGAGAUGUAUUUAUAGUGAGAAGAAUCACGAGCUAAAUUACGCUGACUAGGAAGAUGAUUGGAUGAUGGUCGGGGACGUUCCUAGGGAGAUGUUCGUCUAGCGUGAGAAGACUGAAGAUCAGGAAGAUCUCUAGAGCUUCUCACUACUGAUUUAAAAAGAAAAGCAAA